Molecule: ribosomal RNA, 497 nt
Filed under: uncultured bacterium
Lineage: Bacteria
Description: partial 16S ribosomal RNA
Rfam family: Bacterial small subunit ribosomal RNA
Source: RNAcentral
GAUGAACGCUGGCGGCGUGCCUAAUACAUGCAAGUCGAGCGAACAGACGAGGAGCUUGCUCCUUUGACGUUAGCGGCGGACGGGUGAGUAACACGUGGAUAACCUACCUAUAAGACUGGGAUAACUUCGGGAAACCGGAGCUAAUACCGGAUAACAUGUUGAACCGCAUGGUUCAACAGUGAAAGACGGUCUUGCUGUCACUUAUAGAUGGAUCCGCGCCGCAUUAUCUAGUUGGUAAGGUAACGGCUUACCAAGGCAACGAUGCGUAGCCGACGUGAGAGGGUGGUCGGCCACACGGGAGCUGAGACGCGGACCAGACUCCUAAGGGAGGCAGCAGUAGGGAAUCUUCCGCAAUGGGCGAAAGCCUGACGGAGCAACGCCGCGUGAGUGAAGAAGGUCUUCGGAUCGUAAAACUCUGUUAUUAGGGAAGAACAAAUGUGUAAGUAACUAUGCACGUCUUGACGGUACCUAAUCAGAAAGCCACGGCUAACUACGUG